Molecule: long non-coding RNA, 1580 nt
Organism: Sycon ciliatum
Lineage: Eukaryota; Metazoa; Porifera; Calcarea; Leucosolenida; Sycettidae
Exons: 2
Source: RefSeq, a predicted model, not a curated record
AUUUUACUUUACUUUGAAGUGACUCCAUGAUCCAUGCCUGAUCCAGGCCACCGAGCUACAUUGCACUGUAGGACCGCUUUCUCAAGUUUGCUUCCAGAUGGAGGGACUAGUGAAUUCUAUAUUUGAACCAGGGGUGAAUCAGUCUCUUCUUAUCGCGACCAAUUUUGCAUUCUUCGUUUUGCUGUCGGUGCUGGUGCUCAUUGCUGUUUUCGUGGAUUUGAACAUCCAUGUCAUUUUCAUUUCCAUUCUGACAACCCUGCUGUGGAUAGCCAUUAACUGGUUUAUUUUGGAGAUGGCCACCGUCACACCAGCUGAGCCGGUCACGAAUGCGGACAUCGGGGCUGACGAUAGCGGUCAUGCCUCGGCCGGGCAGGACACAGACACCAGUGCAUCCUCAUCACAUGCCAAGGCUGAGUGAGCAGAGAUAUGCUUCAGGUCUGUGCUGCGACCAUUACAUCCAGUUGCCCUUCAAUCACAAACCGAGGGCAAUGUGAACGAUGUCCACUCCUGCUGUGAGGGAUGAAAAAUAGACCUGUGUCUAAUUGUAGAUGCCAGGUGCUAUUCAGAGAACGUAGCUCUGACUACCUCUACUGGCCAAACAUGGUGAGCACCUCUGUUCCUAUUGUCAGCAACCGAUGAAGCUCCGGUAUGGAGUGUAGCGUGUGCGAGUCUGCUCCAUGCUCUCACUUUGAGCCCCUUUAGAUAACCUGGUGUACCGCUGCGAAGUUGGUACCAUUUCCAAUGGACACACGUCCUUGUUGUAUUCUCCCUGCCAUAGUCUACCUGUACACCGUGGCGCUUGCCACAUCAGCCACAAGUUGGAUAGCUUGUCCUGCUUGCUGUGCUCUCUCUCUCUCUCUCUCUUUCUCUCUCUCUCUCUCUCUCUCUCUCUCUCUCUCUCUCUCUCUUUCUCUCUCUCUUUCUCUUUCUUUCUCUCUCUCUCUCUCUCUUACUCUAUUCCUCUCUCUCUCUCUCUCUCUCUCUCUCUCUCUCUCUCUCUCUCUCUCUCUCUCUCUCUCUCUCUCUCUCUCUCUCUCUCUCUCUCUCUCUCUCUCUCUCUCUCUCUCUCUCUCUCUCUCUCUCUCUCUCUCUCUCUCUCUCUCUCUCUCUCUCUCUCUCUCUCUCAGUUGCUGCAUCACUUACCCUUUGGCAAGUGGGGUUGCUGAGGAUUUUGCCCACCUUGCUCAGUCCCUUUCCAGAGUUUGGGCAUAGCUGUGGUCAAGUGGUAGCUGGAUCUUUAGUUCUACACGAGCAUGUAGCUCAGUUCUUUCGAUCUGAGCAUUGGCAAUGUAGCUUCAUUAACUUGUAGCAAACAUCGACUCUUCCCAACUACCUGCCUGUCCAUUUCAUUUCCUAGUUUUUUUAUUGGCUUAUUGUACAAUGUACUUACUAUUAUUUUAUUUGCAGUAGUAGGUUAGUUAUCUGUACGAAAAAGAGGCAGUGACUUUGGCAAUAGAUGUUGCUCCCUAUGCCGGAGCUCCUGCUUUUCCUAUCCUAUGAAGCUAGUUCAGUAGGGAAAAGUGUGAGCCCUCGAGUCGUGUUUCUUGUUGAGAAUGGCAAAAUAUAUUGUGAAGAAUCAA